CGGAGUUCACAUCAGUUUCAGCAAUCCGCGUUCUCAGUUCGCGUUGCCCAGGCGAGUGGGCUCCAUCAUCACCUGAACCAAAAACGCACCAGGGCGCGCCUGCCCAGGCACCAAGGCCGGAGAAACCGCACGUUUCGAGUCCCCAGUUGCUGAGAAACAAUCACAGCCCUCCUGUUUUCUUCCCCUUCUGCAGGUUCCGACCUGAAUCUGAAAGUGCUUCUAAAUCCCAUGCUUCACAGAACGUUCGGAGGGGGAGGCGCUCCGUGGGGGCUGCCCAUGUAGCCGAACUGACUCGAAUAAAAGCGUGUCCACGUCUACA
RNAcentral lists this non-coding RNA (319 nucleotides) under Pan troglodytes (chimpanzee). The record is from RNAcentral. Lineage: Eukaryota; Metazoa; Chordata; Mammalia; Primates; Hominidae.